CUUGGUAUCUCCAAAAAUAUCAAAAAUCAAGGAAAUG
Molecule: small RNA, 37 nt
Filed under: uncultured eukaryote
Lineage: Eukaryota
Description: partial Mitochondrion-encoded tmRNA
Source: RNAcentral